Molecule: long non-coding RNA, 755 nt
Filed under: Monodelphis domestica (gray short-tailed opossum)
Lineage: Eukaryota; Metazoa; Chordata; Mammalia; Didelphimorphia; Didelphidae
Description: lncRNA (ENSMODG00000041054.1)
Source: RNAcentral
UUGUCUAGCUGACGGGUGGGCCGUGAUCAUCAGCGCCGGGCAGUCGCACGCCCCCUCUGCCUGCGUCUGCACCUCUCUCCCUCUUUCCGACGCACACGCGGGGGCUGUGACCACCCAGCUGGAGCCCUCCCCGACGUUGCUGCCCCAGUUGGACGUCACGACGUCUUGUCCUUACCUGGCACCAUCCCACCGUGCCUGGGCGGCCGGAACCAUGGUGAAGCCCAUGAAUGCUAGACUCGGGUCUCAAGGACCACACCUCCCCGGGGAUGGCCUAGGAGGGUUAAAGGAUACCGCUGGCAGGAACCUCCGGCAUCGUCUAGCGGUACCCCAUUACCUUUAUAGAGACAAAAAAGGACCUGACUUAUGUCUCACAGGACUACAUAUUUGAUGAUCAAUCUGAUGCAUUUCCAGGACCAGAGUUUCCAAUAUUUUCAAGGCUUGCGCCCCAUUCUUUGGGACUGUUUUAGAAGAGAAUAUCCCAGCAUUCAUGAGGAAAUGUUUGCUCAUGCACACAUGCACACACAGCACCGUUCUACCUUCUCAGUGAACUAGAGAGUGGCCAAAGGGAUGGAGGAAGAUCAUGAGCCCUGGCCAUGGCAUUCAGCAAGUCAGAUUCUCCAAGCUUUUGAAGUCAGGUCCCAAAGCUUCUGACUCCUAGUUUCAUGGAUUUCCCCUCUGCUUCCCUAUUUUUCCCAGCAGAGUUAAGCUUCAAUCUUCAAUCAAUUAGUGUGGAUGCCAACCAGAAUGCAGUGUUU